RNAcentral lists this long non-coding RNA (367 nucleotides) under Chinchilla lanigera (long-tailed chinchilla). RNAcentral's name for it is "lncRNA (ENSCLAG00000025747.1)". The record is from RNAcentral. Lineage: Eukaryota; Metazoa; Chordata; Mammalia; Rodentia; Chinchillidae.
CUGGAGUUGAAGAUGCAUGUGCAGAUCAGGAGUACAGCCAGAAAAAGGAGGUUGUGGAAGCUGCUCUUUCUGUUAACAUGGGGAAACCCAUGCAGGGUUGUCCAGAAUCCCUUCACCUUCACUUCUGCCUCUUGUUCUCAGGGACGUCACAUCUUUGUAUGAGGAGUGCCACAUUGUCAGCAGAGGAGCAAAGGCUGUUCAGCAGAGGGUCAAGGCCAGAAUCUGACAGAAAUACAAGAGAGGAACUUUGGUGUAGCCAGAUCUGAGCCUCCCCGCCACAGCCGUUUGUACCCUCUUAGGGAAGUUGACACUUGUUCUGACCUAUUACGUCAGGCCAGCAAAGGACUGGGGUCCAGGUCCUGUCCAG